This is a long non-coding RNA of Ipomoea nil (Japanese morning glory), 273 nucleotides long. RefSeq lists it as uncharacterized. The transcript has 3 exons. The record is from RefSeq and is a predicted model, not a curated record. NCBI's taxonomy places the organism in Eukaryota, Viridiplantae, Streptophyta, Magnoliopsida, Solanales, Convolvulaceae.
GUUAUUCUUACCUGUUUUGUCUGUCCUUUCAUAUUCUUAUGCAGAGUUUGUGACACUACUUAUCUUUGUUGUUUAUUCAGCCAAAUAGGAUUACCUUUAACUUGACACCAGAGAUCAUUCUUCAGGGGUGAGUAUGGCUUUUGGACAGCAUUCUUGGCACUGCUUAUUCACCUUUUCAUCUUCUUUCCUGACGAUGAAAUGAACACGAGGGACGUCACCCAUACUGAGCCUAAUAUUGAAUCUCUUGUUUUCUGCUUUGGAAUUUUAUUUCAU